AAACAUGAUAUACAAAGGCUGAAAAUAUACAUGUUGACUAUGCAUACACUUAGGAGGAGAAUCCGAUGAUUACCCACCUCUAGCACUAAUCCGGCAGCACGGGGUCGCGAAGUUGCUGGAACCACUACUGAAACUAUCCGAAAUCACUUAGAACCAGCAACCAAACUCCUUCAAGGAUCAAAAUACGAAAAACACCAAAAACACCAAAACUUGCAUUAUUACCCUCAAAUUUCAGCACUUAAGCUCAUUCCUCCAAUUCCAAUAUCAAAACUCGCCUAACAAUCUUCAAAUCA
This 293-nucleotide long non-coding RNA is filed under the name Ananas comosus (pineapple). RNAcentral describes it as "long non-coding RNA (ACOM_LNC038994)". The record is from RNAcentral. Lineage: Eukaryota; Viridiplantae; Streptophyta; Magnoliopsida; Poales; Bromeliaceae.